CAAUGCACUCAUCAUCUCAGAAACCCUCCUGCUAAACCCUGGGUCCGGCUGCCCCUGCACCCUUGGCAGGCCAUGCUCCAUCUCAAUGCCAGCUCUCUCUGCAGCUCCUCAUCGGCAGCACCUCCCGACCGGUUGGCAACAAUUGCAAAAUGAAAAUGUCUCCUGAAGUGUUUUUCAGUUUUGCCACAAAAACGUUACAGAGCCAAGAGCCAGAAGCUUCUCCUGCAGCCCAGUCUGUGCUCGGUGACCCGGAUGGGACCUAGGCAUGGCCCUGUUUAGCAGUGCUGGGAGCCCCAGCGAUGGUAUCUCUCAUACGUGGUGUGGUCCCUGCCUGUCUCUGUCCCCAGUGUUCUGGAGGGGAAAGGUAGCCCGGUGGAUCUACAGCUGACCUCAGAGAUCCCAGAUCCGGCCUCUGUAUAAUUAGUCAGGAGGCCACAUAUGGGACGUGCUAGAGCAGACGAGGGAUGAAGGUGAGCAAGGAAGAGGAUGAACUCUCCACGGAAUUGAAGAAGAUCCAAAGGCAGCGGACAAGGGUCAGGGAGAAAAUAGGCCUGAAACGCUGUUGUUCAGAGGCUGUCAGUCACCUGUUAGACUGACGGUGAAAGGAAGGCGGGAUCAUUUCCAGAUGCAUGGGGUUGUAUUUUUUUCUCCUUGUGCUAUAUUGUUGUAUUGCCUUUGUUAUCCAUUUUGAUCCUUCUCUUCUGAAAAUGUUCACCCCACUCUGUACUGUAUACAAUGGCUGCAUGUGCUUCCAGCACCCCAAAAUCUCCAGUGCAUUCUAUGCGGAUAAAGUUGGUAAAAUAAAAGCCAUUCGCU
Molecule: long non-coding RNA, 816 nt
Organism: Chelonia mydas (Green sea turtle)
Lineage: Eukaryota; Metazoa; Chordata; Testudines; Cheloniidae
Exons: 3
Source: RefSeq, a predicted model, not a curated record